CUUUAUACAGGAUGUUAUAAAAGGCUUACAAAUAUUACUGACACAAUGAUUUGAAUUUUCAAGUACGAG
Long non-coding RNA from Aricia agestis (brown argus), 69 nucleotides. RefSeq lists it as uncharacterized. The transcript is spliced from 3 exons. The record is from RefSeq and is a predicted model, not a curated record. NCBI's taxonomy places the organism in Eukaryota, Metazoa, Arthropoda, Insecta, Lepidoptera, Lycaenidae.